RNAcentral lists this ribosomal RNA (496 nucleotides) under uncultured bacterium. RNAcentral describes it as "partial 16S ribosomal RNA". It matches the Rfam family "Bacterial small subunit ribosomal RNA", at positions 29 to 507 of the family's 1533-position model. The record is from RNAcentral.
AUGAACGCUGGCGGCGUGCCUAAUACCUGCAAGUCGAGCGAACAGACGAGGAGCUUGCUCCUCUGACGUUAGCGGCGGACGGGUGAGUAACACGUGGAUAACCUACCUAUAAGACUGGGAUGACUUCGGGAAACCGGAGCUAAUACCGGAUAAUAUAUUGAACCGCAUGGUUCAAUAGUGAAAGACGGUUUUGCUGUCACUUAUAGAUGGAUCCGCGCCGCAUUAGCUAGUUGGUAAGGUAACGGCUUACCAAGGCGACGAUGCGUAGCCGACCUGAGAGGGUGAUCGGCCACACUGGAACUGAGACACGGUCCAGACUCCUACGGGAGGCAGCAGUAGGGAAUCUUCCGCAAUGGGCGAAAGCCUGACGGAGCAACGCCGCGUGAGUGAUGAAGGUCUUCGGAUCGUAAAACUCUGUUAUUAGGGAAGAACAAAUGUGUAAGUAACUAUGCACGUCUUGACGGUACCUAAUCAGAAAGCCACGGCUAACUACGUG